Molecule: unclassified non-coding RNA, 311 nt
Filed under: Pseudozyma hubeiensis
Lineage: Eukaryota; Fungi; Basidiomycota; Ustilaginomycetes; Ustilaginales; Ustilaginaceae
Description: partial internal transcribed spacer region
Rfam family: Eukaryotic small subunit ribosomal RNA (bases 1-46)
Source: RNAcentral
AAGUCGUAACAAGGUAUCUGUAGGUGAACCUGCAGAUGGAUCAUUUCGAUGAAAAACCUUUUUUCUGAGGUGUGGCUCGCACCUGUCCAACUAAACUUGAGCUACCUUUUUUAUACACGGUUGCAUCGGUCGGCCUGUCCAACAGUGCGGGAAUGUAUUUUCCGGCGCUGAGCAGACGAGUCGGCACUUUACACAAACACUUUUGAUAAUCUAGGAUUUGAAUGAAAGUUCAUUUUUAUGAUGGAUCCGACUGGUAAUGCGGUCGUCUAAAUCUAAAAAACAACUUUUGGCAACGGAUCUCUUGGUUCUCC